This 1146-nucleotide ribosomal RNA is filed under the name uncultured bacterium. RNAcentral's name for it is "bacterial SSU rRNA". It matches the Rfam family "Bacterial small subunit ribosomal RNA", at positions 236 to 1399 of the family's 1533-position model. The record is from RNAcentral.
UCCCAUUAGCUAGUUGGUAGGGUAACGGCCUACCAAGGCAACGAUGGGUAUCCGAGCUGAGAGGCUGAACGGACACACUGGGACUGAGAUACGGCCCAGACUCCUACGGGAGGCAGCAGGGAGGAAUAUUGGUCAAUGGGGGAAACCCUGAACCAGCAACGCCGCGUGAAGGAAGAAGGCCCUCGGGUUGUAAACUUCUGUUUUCAGGGAAGAAAGAAAUGACGGUACCUGAAGAGGAAGCUCCGGCAAACUACGUGCCAGCAGCCGCGGUAAUACGUAGGGAGCGAGCGUUGUCCGGAAUCACUGGGCGUAAAGGGCGCGUAGGCGGCAUUGCAAGUUGCAUGUGAAAUACCAUGGCUCAACCAUGGGGUGUCAUGCAAAACUGUAAAGCUUGAGUGCAGUAGAGGAAAGCGGAAUUCCUGGUGUAGCGGUAAAAUGCGUAGAGAUCAGGAGGAACACCGGUGGCGAAGGCGGCUUUCUGGGCUGUAACUGACGCUGAGGCGCGAAAGCGUGGGGAGCAAAGAGGAUUAGAUACCCUGGUAGUCCACGCCGUAACCGAAGAAUAUUAGGUGUAGGCCUUUUAAGGUUUGUGCCGGAGCAAACGCAAUAAAUAUUCCGCCUGGGGAGUACGGCCGCAAGGUGAAACUCAAAGGAAUUGACGGGACCCCGCACAAGCAGCGGAGCAUGUUGUUUAAUUCGAAGCAACGCGAAGAACCUUACCAGGGCUUGACAUCCUACAAAUUCCGCAGAGAUGCAGGAGUGCCCUUCGGGGAAUGUAGAGACAGGUGGUGCAUGGUUGUCGUCAGCUCGUGUCGUGAGAUGUUGGGUUAAGUCCCGCAACGAGCGCAACCCUUACAUUUAGUUGCCAGCACGUAACGGUGGGAACUCUAAAUGGACAGCCGGGGUAACCCGGAGGAAGGUGGGGACGACGUCAAAUCAUCAUGCUCCUUAUGUCCUGGGCUACAAACGUGCUACAAUGGCCACAACAAAGGGCAGCAAGACCGCAAGGUGGAGCGAAACCGAUAAAAGUGGCCCCAGUUCGGAUUGAGGGCUGCAACCCGCCCUCAUGAAGUCGGAGUUGCUAGUAAUCGCGAGUCAGCAUAUCGCGGUGAAUACGUUCCCGGGCCUUGCACACACCGCCCGUCA